CCUGGUCAGUCCAAUAGCGAGAGCAGCUCGGAUCGAUUCAGAAGGAGCAGGUCAACUGGUCAAGUCCUGUAAUCUGAAUCGUGUGGUCUGUUCACUGUUGUUGUGUAAUGGGUGGCAAGGGAAUAGUGUGCGUGACCGGGGCAGGAGGAUACGUGGCAUCAUGGCUAGUCAAGCUUCUUCUCUCUAACAAUUACACCGUCCAUGCCACUGUUAGAAACCCUGAUGAUGCAAAAAAUAGUCACCUGAAGAAACUUGAAGAAUCAUCUGAUAGACUAAAACUCUUCAAGGCAGAUUUGUUAAAUUAUGACUCUAUACUUAUGGCUGUAAAAGGAUGCAAUGGAGUCUUUCAUGUUGCCAGUCCAGUGCCCUCUAGCAGUGUACCAAAUCCUGAGGUUGAAAUUGUCGAGCCUGCUGUAAAAGGUACACUGAAUGUGCUCAAAGCAUGUCUUGAAGCUGGUGUCAACCGAGUUGUGUAUGUGUCAUCUGGAGCUGCUAUUAUGCUGAACCCCAGCUGGCCUAGUGGAAAGGUGAAGGAUGAGAGUUGUUGGUCUGAUAAAGAAUACUGCAAGGCAACCAAUAACUGGUAUUGCUAUUCAAAAACAGAAGCAGAAUCAGAGGCCUGGGAGUUUGCUAAAAAGAAUGGGAUAAAUCUUGUAACUGUAUGUCCAAAUAUGGUUUGGGGACCAAUGCUGCAGUCCACAACGAAUGCUAGUAGUAUGGCUCUUGUUAAGCUUUUGAAAGAAAAGUGUGAACAACUGGAAAACAAGAUGCGUUUGGUGGUGGAUGUACGUGAUGUAGCUGAAUCACUUUUGAUGGUAUAUGAGAAACCGGAAGCUGAAGGACGAUACAUAUGCACGGCUCACACUGUCAGCACACAGGACUUGGUGGAGAUGCUGAAGAGACUCUAUCCUGACCACGAGUACCCAAAAAGUUUUACUGGUGCAGCAGUUGGUGUGAAUACUAGUUCAGAGAAACUUCAGACCCUCGGUUGGAGUUUCAGGCCACUUGAAGAAACUAUUUCUGAUUCCAUCGAGAGCUACAAACAGGGUGGAAUUCUGGAUUAACUGAUGGACUAAUGAUUUGCUAUUAUCUUUGACUGGUAGAAAUAAAUCCAAAAUCGGAUCUUUUGUCAAGGUUGAUUAUUCCGUAAAUCCAGACUGCCGGAUGUAGUUGCAGAAUAAGGUGCCAUUAGGUAUUUUUGCCACUUGCCAACAACUUUUUACUAAAGAUUAAUUGUAGCACUAAUGUUUGACUAGUUUAGAGUUGGAGGUGUUUUCCAAUAUUAUUGGUCAUUUGAAAUUGUAGAAAAUCAGAUCUGCGUAUGAUUUUCUUAUAAUAGUUGCUAUAUUGGCUUGUGAUA
RNA transcript from Daucus carota subsp. sativus, 1360 nucleotides. It is a transcript of the gene named cinnamoyl-CoA reductase 1, with no coding region annotated. NCBI's taxonomy places the organism in Eukaryota, Viridiplantae, Streptophyta, Magnoliopsida, Apiales, Apiaceae. The record is from RefSeq and is a predicted model, not a curated record. The transcript is spliced from 7 exons.